This 253-nucleotide ribosomal RNA is filed under the name uncultured bacterium. RNAcentral's name for it is "partial 16S ribosomal RNA". It matches the Rfam family "Bacterial small subunit ribosomal RNA", at positions 524 to 776 of the family's 1533-position model. The record is from RNAcentral.
UACGUAGGGACCGAGCGUUGUCCGGAUUCAUUGGGCGUAAAGAGCUCGUAGGCGGCCACUCAAGUUGAAUGUGAAACCUCGAGGCUUAACCUCGAGCCUGCAUUUGAUACUGGGCGGCUAGAGUCUGGUAGGGGGAUCUGGAAUUCCUGGUGUAGCGGUGGAAUGCGCAGAUAUCAGGAGGAACACCGGUGGCGAAGGCGGCAUCCUGGACCAACACUGACACUGAGGAGCGAAAGCCAGGGGAGCAAACGGG